RNAcentral lists this ribosomal RNA (404 nucleotides) under Escherichia coli. Its description in RNAcentral is "partial 23S ribosomal RNA". It matches the Rfam family "Bacterial large subunit ribosomal RNA", at positions 1273 to 1679 of the family's 2925-position model. The record is from RNAcentral. Lineage: Bacteria; Pseudomonadati; Pseudomonadota; Gammaproteobacteria; Enterobacterales; Enterobacteriaceae.
CUGGAGGUAUCAGAAGUGCGAAUGCUGACAUAAGUAACGAUAAAGCGGGUGAAAAGCCCGCUCGCCGGAAGACCAAGGGUUCCUGUCCAACGUUAAUCGGGGCAGGGUGAGUCGACCCCUAAGGCGAGGCCGAAAGGCGUAGUCGAUGGGAAACAGGUUAAUAUUCCUGUACUUGGUGUUACUGCGAAGGGGGGACGGAGAAGGCUAUGUUGGCCGGGCGACGGUUGUCCCGGUUUAAGCGUGUAGGCUGGUUUUCCAGGCAAAUCCGGAAAAUCAAGGCUGAGGCGUGAUGACGAGGCACUACGGUGCUGAAGCAACAAAUGCCCUGCUUCCAGGAAAAGCCUCUAAGCAUCAGGUAACAUCAAAUCGUACCCCAAACCGACACAGGUGGUCAGGUAGAGAAU